AUGGUGUAUGGUGCUGCAUCUUCCUCCCUGACUGCCCUCAUCUCGGUCCUCGACGGCAAGACGGCGUCCACGACAAUCAUCUCCGAGGAGCUUCGCCACCUGUUCAAGCCGGAUUGGGACUGGGAGGUCGAUCCUAUAUCCGAUCGGGAGUUCACCGCCGUAUUCCCGGAUCCUGUCAGCCUCCGCUACGGCACCCACAUCGCGGAGUUGACCUUGGCGCUCCAUCAGCUCAAGGUUCACAUAUCGGUUCCCUCGGUGGAUCCUCUCGCCGUGGCCUCCCUAUCCACUGUGUGGGUUCAGAUUCGUGGGCUACCCCCCAUUGCUCAUGUGGAUGGUGCUAUCUGGGGCAUGUCCCGGCUCCUGGGAAAGAUUGUGUCGGUGGACGCUCUCUUGCUACUUAAGGGGCCGGCCGUUCAUGUCGAGCUCAAGACCCCGGAUCCCUCCAAGCUUCAGAUGACUUUGCGGAUGUUCUUCAACGAUGUGGGCUACGACCUCCAUAUUUCAGUCAAAGAUGAGCUCUCCACUUCUCCCGCUGGCCAUGAGGAUGGGUCGGACCCCGAGGUCGACCCGGAUCUUGAGGGGGAUGGUGGCCCCACUACUGGUCACGACCGGAACCGCCGUCCACGUGGUCGCUCCCCUAGCUCUGUCCGCUCGGACGACGACUCCGGGGACGACCAUGGGCCCUCGCCCCGAACCGGCGCGGCUGCUCCCCCUCCCUGCUCCCCCUCCCUGCUCCAAGCCUCUCGCCCCGGACUCCCGUGCGUUACUUCGGGAGCUGAGGAGGAGGACCUGGAGGCGAUCUCCGCUAUGCUUGACGAGGCGGCGAGCCUUCCUCCUGGCGCCGUCAUCUCGAUCGUCAUGGAGGCGCAGGUCUCCUCCUCAGACGGCAGCAUCAGCGACACGAGCAGCAUCCCUCCGGAUCAGCAGCGCUUGAUCUUCGCGGGGAAGCAGCUGGAGGACGGGCGCACUGUGGCCAACUACAACAUCCAGAAGGAGUCGACGCUGCACCUGGUGCUCCGCCUGCGGGGCGGCAGCCGCGGCCAGUACAUCAUCAUGGACCCCAGCCUCCUGCAGCUCGCCCUCAAGUACAAGGAGAAGAAGAUGAUCUGA
This 1110-nucleotide ribosomal RNA is filed under the name Triticum aestivum (bread wheat). Its description in RNAcentral is "partial small subunit ribosomal RNA". The record is from RNAcentral. Lineage: Eukaryota; Viridiplantae; Streptophyta; Magnoliopsida; Poales; Poaceae.